CUGAAUUCGCCACAAAAUGUAUUACAAGAAAUAAAAUUCUCUUGAAGGUGAUAGAUACUAGAGAAUUUUGAGAAUCAUAAAAUUAGUGUGAUGAGUGUUAAUCAGUUUAAAAUUGUUCUGAAAACCUAAAAAAUGAAAUUGGAGAAAAACUUAUUCCUUUAUAACAUUUACAUGACAUGCCACAAUACCAAUAUACUUUUGUCAUACAAAUCCUUCACUGAAAAUUGACGUCCUCCCUUACGUUAUCUGGAAAAUAAACAAACCAAAAGGGUGCAUUAGUUUUUAGCACUCAGCACCAGCAGCCGUCUCCCCACUAUAAAACAUUACAAAUAAAAUAAAUAAUCCUUAAAUGCAUGGAUCCCUAGUAAUCAUCAUAACUUCAAACCUAAAGGAAGGGAAUGAAAGGAAGGGAAGACCAAGCCACAAAGUGAUACUCCCUUGAAACCUAAAGAAGAACCCUACGCUUACAUAAGGAGGAAGAGAAACCAUUGGAGGGAAAAAUACAGAUGAGAUUAGAGUAACACAAAGAGAGACAUAGAGAAAACGUAGUGAGAGAGAACUACCCAGGAAAAAGCCCAGAAAGUUCCACUUAGCCCAGAAGCAUACUCCAAGCCCCAAGCAUCACCAUCCAUGCAACCUUAGUAAUUUUCGUAGCUUUACAUCAAACAUCCCGGCCAUUAGAAACCUAACUAUCACCCUAGGAAAGCCUAGAUUAUCUAGCAAAGAAUGUCAUGCAACCAUACAAAUCCCUUCUCUCUCAUGUAAAUUGAUAAUCUUCUAGCUUUCACACCACGCUUCACUUGAGCAAGUCAUUAUCUUGAUCUUACACGCUAUCUUCGAGUUGUUGAUAUUACCAGGGUAUUUUCUAAGACAAGCUAUCUCUUUUGAGAUAUCAUGAGACUUGUUAUGAAUCUGCACCAAGAGAGACAAGAGGACGUUCUCAAAGCCCAAGUCCACUUCGACCUAAAAGUCCCCCAACAGAUGUCAAACCACCCCCUCCUCUCUUGUAGUUUUAUUUGUUUUCUUAAGAGGGACAUGUUUAUGUCUCUCUCUCUUUUCUUGUACAUUUUACUUUAUUAUUUUUUCUUAUAUUACGACCCUAAUUAAGUGUAACUUCUCUUUUUGAUUUAAUAAAAUUUCUCUCGUAUCAUCGAGAUUCUUCUAAAAAAAUUAAAAAAAAAUAGAAAAAGAAAGAAAGUAGCUUACUCCAUACAAAUACAAGGUCGGUAUGUGAGUUAUAGGGCAAGUAUAUUAAAAAAAGGGUCAAUUUCAUACAACUGCAGUUUAUUUAGGAUCUAAUUAUUGGGAAAUAUUGACAUUAUUGUUUUCAUGCAUGGAAAACUAGAUGUAAAAUUGAGGGAUUAUGAUUCUUUCCCUUCCUCUCACAUUCUUUAUUUCAUCUUUCUCUUUCUAUAAAAAAAUUAAUAUAAGAUGUUGACGUAGUUUAACUAUGACCGUUCAAAUAAGAGGGGAGGAAAGAGGAGGGAAAAAAAAAGGAAGAGAAUGCUACUCCAAAAUUGAGAUGAGCUAAACUUUGAAGCCAACAUUUAUUAAUAAAAAUGAUUUUAUUUGUCUAUUCUGUUUUUUUUAAUUCCCCAAAAUUUUCGGGAAAUUUGGAAAAAUAACCACAAUUUGGACCUCAUAUAGAAUUAUAGCCACCCUUUUAAAUUUAUGAUAAUUAUAACCAAAAGUUGACAUAAAAAUACUAAUAUACCCUUAAAAUUACCAAAACGCAAAAUUAAAAUAUGCAAACCACUGUAGACGGAUUCAACGGAUUCCCCUUCCCCUUCAAUUGGAUUCGAAGUCAGAGCCUUUGAACACAAAAUUCCUAAAUCAUUUAAGCUAUCACAUUUCAAGCUCUUUUAGUUCUUCUUCAAUCGUAUAUGAAUCCAAUUGACGAUUUUGGUCUUCUAUUUUUUCUUUUUCUACUCCCCAUUCUUUUACUUAUGUCUUCCAAAACUUAACAACGUUCUGAACAAAAAAAAUUGUUAGAAGUGGGUCUUUUUAUCGGCUUUCUUCCAAGUUUAUGAUGGAAUAAAUCAAAAUUAACAAAUUCUAUUUGUUUCGUCAGAUUUCAAGAUGGAAAAUAAUUUGGGGAUUCACAAAUGGUGCCAAAAGGAAUAAAUUUGAACCCAAAUCAGCGAUCUGGGGACUAGGAUUUUUGUAGCCCCUCUGGUUUGUUUUCAAAUCUUUUUUAUCUUGAAGGUCGAUUUUUUCAUGGUUAAGAGCAGCAAAUGAGGAAUGUUUUAGCCAUUAGGGGUAUUUUAGUACUUUUAUAUCAACUUUUGGUUAUAAUUAUCAUAAAUUUAACAUUGUGGCUAUAAUUCUAUAUGAGAUCUAAAUUCUGGUUAUUUUUCCAAAUUUCUCAAAAUUUUCACAUGUUUUAUUGACUACCAAGUACAACAUAUAUAAAUACAAUUCUACAAAGAAAACUGGACCGUAGGAGUAUACAUCUAAUCAAUAUAUUUGUUAGAGUCAAAUAUUAAAGUCCAACCUAAUUGGUUUACGUAGUUGUAACCAAAUUGAACUAGUGUUAAGAGUUCUGAUUAAUUAGCUAUUUCUCGAGCAUUAAGGAAUAGUGAAAUACAAAUUAAUUUCUAGGGAACUUUAACGAAAAGUUUCCGGUAUUGUUCAUUUUAAUGAAAAACCAUAUUUUUAAACUAAAAAAUCAAUCCUAGUACUAUUCACUUUACCUUUUAUUUUGUUCUUAUCAUUAAAACUCAAAGUUUACAAUCACUUUUCAUUAAUUUUCCUUAAUUUCUAUUGGUUAAGAGGUUCCUGCAUGGAAGACAAUUUUAUGGUCUUUAGUAUUCGAGUGAUAGGCUCACUAGGGUUUUUAGAAUCCAUUAGUCAGCACGAUUUUAGGCCUGUUGACUUUAUAAAUUUGAGGUCUUUAUGCACGCUGCUAACUAGGCCUGGCAUUUUGGACCCAACCCGUUAACCCGAUCCGACCCAACCCAUUAAUAUUUGUAUUUGAGUGGAUGCUUAACGGGUCGGGUCGCUAACGGGUGAACCCGUUAACAACCCGUUAAAUAACGGGUCACUUUGGGUCAACCCGUUAGACCCGUUAGGACCCGUUAACACCCGUUAGUUGAGAAUAUUUUAGUAAUUUUAGUAAAGUCUUAAUAACAAAAAAUAAACUUUAUGCAAAAAAAAAAAUAAUAAUAAUUGUUAACGGGUGUUAAUGGGUGAAACGGAUGACCUGUUAAGCUUAACGGGUCGGGUUCGGGUGACCCGUUAGCUUAACGGAUUGGGUUCGGAUGACCCGUUAACUUAACGGGUCGGGUUGAACCCGACCCAAACCCAAUAAACCCGACCCGUUUACAGGUCUACUGCUAACACACCACAACUUUAGAACUCCCCAUCAAUGUUCAUUAUAUAAGGAGCAGCAGUGCAUAGAAGUGCUUCAAUCUAUUUCGUCCUGAAUUCGCCACAAAAUGUAUUACAAGAAAUAAAAUUCUCUUUGAUAGAUACUAGAGAAUUUUGAGAAUCAUAAAAUUAGUGUGAUGAGUGUUAAUCAGUCUAAAAUUGUUCUGAAAACCUAAAAAAUGAAAUUGGAGAAAAACUUAUUCGUUUAUAAUACUUACACGACAUGCCACAAUACCAUAUACUUUUGUCAUACAAAUCCUUCACUGAAAAUUGACGUCCUCCCUUACGUUAUC
RNAcentral lists this long non-coding RNA (3662 nucleotides) under Malus domestica (apple). RNAcentral's name for it is "long non-coding RNA (MDOM_LNC004363)". The record is from RNAcentral. Lineage: Eukaryota; Viridiplantae; Streptophyta; Magnoliopsida; Rosales; Rosaceae.